AUUGGGUUCAAGAUAACUUUGCUAGCACAUGAUUGGAUCUAAUUUUUUUUUAUGUUUAAAUUUUUUAUUUGAUAAGAUAAUUUAAAUUUAAUUAUCUGCUAAUAAUCUACAUGAAUUAGAUUUAUUAGACUCUAAUUGUUGGGUGUCUAAGAUUUUAGAUCAAAUGAAUGAGGGUGCAAGUUUCUAAUUAAUAUUCCUUGAUAGUUAUUAUGGGGCAUCACCUUGAUUUGAUCAAGUUUGACAUGUCCUAUAAUUAAAGGGCCUUUUGAUUUCAUAUG
Molecule: long non-coding RNA, 278 nt
Filed under: Elaeis guineensis (African oil palm)
Lineage: Eukaryota; Viridiplantae; Streptophyta; Magnoliopsida; Arecales; Arecaceae
Description: long non-coding RNA (EGUI_LNC079822)
Source: RNAcentral